Molecule: ribosomal RNA, 418 nt
Filed under: uncultured bacterium
Lineage: Bacteria
Description: bacterial SSU rRNA
Rfam family: Bacterial small subunit ribosomal RNA
Source: RNAcentral
AACGAACGCUGGCGGCAGGCUUAACACAUGCAAGUCGAACGGGUGUAGCAAUACAUCAGUGGCAGACGGGUGAGUAACACGUGGGAACCUUCCUAGGGGUACGGAACAACUCAGGGAAACUUGAGCUAAUACCGUAUACGUCCGUAAGGAGAAAGAUUCAUCGCCCCUAGACGGGCCCGCGUCGGAUUAGGUAGUUGGUGGGGUAACGGCCUACCAAGCCUACGAUCCGUAGCUGAUCUGAGAGGAUGAUCAGCCACACUGGGACUGAGACACGGCCCAGACUCCUACGGGAGGCAGCAGUGGGGAAUCUUGGACAAUGGGCGCAAGCCUGAUCCAGCCAUGCCGCGUGAGUGAAGAAGGCCUUAGGGUUGUAAAGCUCUUUUACCAGGGACGAUAAUGACGGUACCUGGAGAAUAAG